Molecule: ribosomal RNA, 643 nt
Filed under: uncultured bacterium
Lineage: Bacteria
Description: bacterial SSU rRNA
Rfam family: Bacterial small subunit ribosomal RNA
Source: RNAcentral
CGCGGCCUAKCAKCUUGUUGGNGGGGUAACGGCCCACCAAGGCGAUGACGGGUAGCUGGCGUGAGAGCGCGACCAGCCACACCGGGACUGAGACACGGCCCGGACUCCUACGGGAGGCAGCAGUAGGGAAUAUUGGACAAUGGACGAAAGUCUGAUCCAGCGACGCCGCGUGGAGGAUGAAGGCCUUCGGGUCGUAAACUCCUGUUGUGAGGAAAGAAGCCGAAAGGUGACGGUACCUCACGAGGAAGCCCCGGCUAACUACGUGCCAGCAGCCGCGGUAAGACGUAGGGGGCAAGCGUUGUCCGGAUUCACUGGGCGUAAAGGGCGCGUAGGCGGUUACGUAAGUCUGGCGUGAAAUCUCACAGCUUAACUGUGGAACUGCGUCGGAUACUGCGUUGACUAGAGGUCGGUAGAGGUCCGUGGAACUAGCGGUGUAGCGGUGAAAUGCGCAGAUAUCGCUAGGAACGCCGGUGGCGAAGGCGAUGGACUGGGCCGUACCUGACGCUGAGGCGCGAAAGCUAGGGGAGCGAACCGGAUUAGAUACCCGGGUAGUCCUAGCCGUAAACGGUGGGUGCUAGGUGUGGGGGUCUCACGACUUCCGUGCCGCAGCUAACGCAUUAAGCACCCCGCCUGGGGAGUACGG